AUAUGCUUGCGGCCUCGCCACGGGCACGGAAUAUUAAAUAAAAACCAAUAAACGUUAAAAGCCUUUGCAGUGGGCCGUGGCCAUAAGCCACCUGCCAAACCAGGUCGACCAAAACCACGAUCCUCGGCCGACCGUCGCAAACCCUCCCUCUUCUCCCUUCUCCCACGAUGUUCCGAUUCCCCUUCGAGGCUGGCUAUGCGCCCGAUUAAAUGCAUUUAAAUGUGUUUUCAUCAUAAUUAUGCAUAUGCAAACAUGACUCGACCAGUGGCCACUCUAUCGUUGAAUAUAUCCCCCCAACUUC
Drosophila melanogaster (fruit fly) is the source of this 301-nucleotide non-coding RNA. The record is from Ensembl. NCBI's taxonomy places the organism in Eukaryota, Metazoa, Arthropoda, Insecta, Diptera, Drosophilidae.